GAGGCCUACGGGGCGCAGCAGUGAGGAAUAUUGGUCAAUGGACGAAAGUCUGAACCAGCCAUGCCGCGUGCAGGAAGACGGCUCUAUGAGUUGUAAACUGCUUUUGUACAAGGGUAAACCUGAAUACGUGUAUUCAGCUGAAAGUACUGUACGAAUAAGGAUAGGCUAACUCCGUGCCAGCAGCCGCGGUAAUACGGAGGAUCCAAGCGUUAUCCGGAUUUAUUGGGUUUAAAGGGUGCGUAGGCGGAUUGAUAAGUUAGAGGAGAAAUGUCCGGGCUCAACUCGGGAACUGCCUCUAAUACUGU
This 305-nucleotide ribosomal RNA is filed under the name uncultured bacterium. Its description in RNAcentral is "bacterial SSU rRNA". It matches the Rfam family "Bacterial small subunit ribosomal RNA", at positions 334 to 636 of the family's 1533-position model. The record is from RNAcentral.